RNAcentral lists this microRNA (18 nucleotides) under Ectocarpus siliculosus. RNAcentral describes it as "esi-miR8626". The record is from miRBase by way of RNAcentral. Lineage: Eukaryota; Phaeophyceae; Ectocarpales; Ectocarpaceae.
GUCAGCAGCCGCCGCCGC